RNAcentral lists this ribosomal RNA (319 nucleotides) under uncultured Psychrobacter sp. Its description in RNAcentral is "bacterial SSU rRNA". It matches the Rfam family "Bacterial small subunit ribosomal RNA", at positions 83 to 407 of the family's 1533-position model. Lineage: Bacteria; Pseudomonadati; Pseudomonadota; Gammaproteobacteria; Moraxellales; Moraxellaceae. The record is from RNAcentral.
UCUCGCUGACGAGCGGCGGACGGGUGAGUAAUACUUAGGAAUCUACCUAGUAGUGGGGGAUAGCUCGGGGAAACUCGAAUUAAUACCGCAUACGACCUACGGGAGAAAGGGGGCAACUUGUUGCUCUCGCUAUUAGAUGAGCCUAAGUCGGAUUAGCUAGAUGGUGGGGUAAAGGCCUACCAUGGCGACGAUCUGUAGCUGGUCUGAGAGGAUGAUCAGCCACACCGGGACUGAGACACGGCCCGGACUCCUACGGGAGGCAGCAGUGGGGAAUAUUGGACAAUGGGGGCAACCCUGAUCCAGCCAUGCCGCGUGUGUG